UCACGUUUCACCCAUUUCACUAGACCAGUGGUUCUCACACUUUAGAGUGCCUCAGAGUCACCUACAGGGCUUGUUAAACCACAGAUUGCAGGGGUACCUAAGCCCAGAAUUUCUGAUUUGGUAGGUCUGGAGUAGGUCCUGAUAAUCUGCUUUUCUAACAGGUUGUCGGGUGAUGCUGAUUGUGCUAGUCCUAGGAACAUCUUAAUAACUACGUCGCCUUAUUAAGCCUUGGAUAAAGAAGACCACUUCAUGGUACCAUCAGAUGGAGGCCCCUGACCUGAGGAAACCCUACUUCACCAUCGGCAGAACCAGCCCCCAAUAUUUCAAUGUAGGUUCUUUUCUAUUUUCCCUAAGUGUUGGCCUGUCUGAGAAACAAAGAGAAAGAGUACGAAAGAGAAAAAUUUUACAGCUGGGCCUCCGGGGGUGACAUCACAUGCCAGCAGGUUCCCUGAUGCCCCCAAGCUGCAAAACCAGCAAGUUUUUAUUAGGGAUUUCAAAAGGGGAGGAGUGUACGAAUAGGGAGUGGGUCACAGGGAUGACACAGUUCAAAUGGCAAUAAAAUAUCACAAGGGCAGAAGGGCAGAGCAAGGUCACAAGGCCAGGGCAAAAUUAGAAUUACUAAUGAGGUUCCAUGUCCCCCUGUGCACACAUUGUCAUUGAUAAACAUCUUAACAGGAAACAGGGUUCAAGAGCAGACAACCGGUCUGACUAGAAUUUGCCAGGCUGGAAUUUCCUAAUCCUAGCAAGCCUGAGGGCGCUGCAGGAAACCAGGGCGUA
RNAcentral lists this long non-coding RNA (777 nucleotides) under Homo sapiens (human). RNAcentral's name for it is "HSALNT0148124". The record is from RNAcentral. Lineage: Eukaryota; Metazoa; Chordata; Mammalia; Primates; Hominidae.